AUCAUUUACAGAAGAAGGCUCACCAUCCAGAUCGUAUAGCAUGCUGAACAAGGCGUGUGCUGAGAGAUGCGUAUCCAUUGAACACAUAGAAAAUAUCAUUUGGACUAUUCGUGGAUAAAUCCAUCAGUUAGAUGAAAAGAACAUCAAAGAAACAAAUAGUGGAGCACUAACUUUUACGGUUCAAUAGUAAGAUAAAUCAUAACAGUGCUCAUAAUCCCUUGUGCCACUGGACGCCUCUGAAAACAAUAAAAUACAGGUUCUUUACGUUAAGAAAAGUUUAUAGGGCCCUUCAGUUGCUCUCUCGCAACAGAGCCAGAGUGAGAACUAUACAAGAGUUAU
This 339-nucleotide long non-coding RNA is filed under the name Olea europaea subsp. europaea. The record is from RNAcentral. Lineage: Eukaryota; Viridiplantae; Streptophyta; Magnoliopsida; Lamiales; Oleaceae.